Molecule: RNA transcript, 1232 nt
Organism: Syzygium oleosum
Lineage: Eukaryota; Viridiplantae; Streptophyta; Magnoliopsida; Myrtales; Myrtaceae
Gene name: F-box/LRR-repeat protein 17-like
Exons: 5
Source: RefSeq, a predicted model, not a curated record
CAUAGAAGCUUAGAGCAUGAAGGAAUAUAAUUUAAUCAUCAGCCUCAACAAUUGCACUUCUUUUUUAAUCAUGAAUUUAUUGUUACAUGCAGGUCAAGCAUUAGUGACAGUGGCAUCGGGAUGAUAUGCAAUGUGUUUCCUGAAACAUUAUUAAGACUCCUACUUGCCCUUUGUCCUAACAUCUCUUCAAGUGGAAUUCAGUUUGCCACAGCUCAGCUGCCUCUUCUUGAACUCAUGGACUGUGGUAUGAGUGUAUGUGAUAGUAAUGACGAAAGCCUCAUCUCUGAUGAAGCCAUCAACCAUGGGAUGGAGAAAAGGCCCAACAGCAAUCUUCACCUCAUACACCAGAAGCUUAUUAUAAAGCACACUAAAUUAAAAAAACUCAGCUUGUGGGGUUGUAGUGGCUUAGAUGCCUUGUAUUUGAACUGCCCAGAGUUGAAUGACCUGAAUCUCAAUGCCUAUAAAAAUUUGCUGACUGGUCAACAAUGAUUCUUUUCCCGUGGAAAACCAUUUGCCCUUUAAACGUCUGGUUGAUGGUUCCAAGAGAGUUCGGGUUCCCCAUUUUCUGUGCCAACAGCAAUUUGAUGUUGAUAAGAAGCAGAGAACGAGGCCGCCGUGUAAUGUGCUUGCAGAAUGAUUAUACAUGUGGAUAGUUUUGACAAUUGACAUGGUGAUAGCUUCACUUGUUUGAUGUCAUAUUACUGCUGAGGCAAGGCCCUCUAGACUGACUUCUUGCGGGUUCCCAACAUUAUUGCCGGUUGCUGAUGCCUUGUAGAAUUCCUUUAGGCAUUGUGUGGCCCCCUGGUCACCAUACUAGAAAAUACUCUGAAGCUUAGCUUCAGCUGCAUAACUUCAUCAUUCUAAAAUAAAGUUAUCAACCUAUGUAAUUUCUGUGCAAACGGUCUUUGUAUCAGGAGUUUCAUGGAAAGACUGUAAUUUACUGAGAAUUUAUAUUAGAGCAUGAACUGUUGCUGCUAACAUUCAUGUACUUGAUAUCAGAGGUUAGAAGGAACUUCGCAAGGCUGAGUUUGUGGUAGAUAUACCAGGUUUCAGCCAUGGAUUACAUACAGUUUGCACUGUGCCAGUUGUGAUUACGACGCACAUGGUUAUCUUGACUAGUAGGAGGCCAAGCUGUAAUAAAUUUUUGCAGCACAUUCGCAACUAUUUUUAUAGUUUGUUGCUAAUUUGCGAUGAAUUAAUAAAAAUUCGUCGCUAAAUUCGUUCCGGAACAA